RNAcentral lists this transfer RNA (73 nucleotides) under Pteropus alecto (black flying fox). It matches the Rfam family "tRNA". From Rfam's summary of the family: Transfer RNA (tRNA) molecules are approximately 80 nucleotides in length. Lineage: Eukaryota; Metazoa; Chordata; Mammalia; Chiroptera; Pteropodidae. The record is from Rfam by way of RNAcentral.
GGUUCUAUAGUGUAGCGGUUAGCACGUCUGCUUUACAUGCAGAAGGUCCUUCGUUUGCACCCUUGUGGAGCCA